This 2982-nucleotide ribosomal RNA is filed under the name Pinus taeda (loblolly pine). RNAcentral describes it as "eukaryotic LSU rRNA". It matches the Rfam family "Eukaryotic large subunit ribosomal RNA". Lineage: Eukaryota; Viridiplantae; Streptophyta; Pinopsida; Pinales; Pinaceae. The record is from RNAcentral.
GUAAAUUUCGUCCAAGGCUAAAUGCGGGCGAGAGAUCGAUAGCGAACAAGUACCGUGAGGGAAAGAUGAAAAUGACUUUGAAAAGAGAGUUAAAGAGUGCUUGAAAUUUCCGAGAGGGAAGCAUAUGGAGGCUGUCGAUGCGUCUUAGUCAGAUGUGGAACGGCUCAGGCUGGUUCGCCGCUCGACUUGAGGUGAAAACCAACACAGGCUGCUGCAUCGUCACAAGCGCGGGUGGAUUCCCACCUAUCAGUUUGCCGCUGUGGUGGUCGAGGAACGAAGCGUGCACCCUUGAGGUGCACGCUUCGUGCACCUGCACGCUCGUGGGCGAGAUCCCCUCUCUUGGGGGGGUGCAUCAUCGACCGACCUUGACCUUAUGCGAAGGGUUCGAGUGCGAGCACACCUGUUGGGACCCGAAAGAUGGUGAACUAUGCCUGAGCAGGGAAAAGCCAGAGGAAACUCUAGUGGAGGCUCGUAUUGAUAAUGACGUGUAAAUUAUUCGUCUGACUUGGGUAUAGGGGCGAAAGACUAAUUGAAGCAUCAGUAGCUGGUUUGCUCUGAAGUUUCCCUCAGGAUAGCUAGAGCUCACACGCGAGUUUUAUCGGGUAAAUCAAAUGAUUAGAGGCAUCGGGGGCGUAACGCCCUCGACCUAUUCUCAAACAUUAAAUAGGUAAGAGGGUGCGGUUGCUCCAUUGGGCCACACCGUGGAAUCGAGAGCUCCAAGUGGGCCAUUUUUGGUAAGCAGAACUGGUGAUGCAAGAUGAACCGAAAGUCGAGUUACGGUGUCGAAUUGCACGCUAACCUAGAUCCCACAAAGGGUGUUGGUUGAUUGAGACAGCAGGACCGUGGUCAUGGAAGUCGAAAUCUGCUAAAGAGUGUGUAACAACUCACAUGCCGAAUCAACUAGCCCCGAAAAUGGAUGGCGCUGAAGCGCGCAACCUAUACUCGACCAUCGGAGCAAUUGCCUGGCUCUGAUGAGUAGGAGGACAGGGGGGUCAUUGAGAAACCUCGGGCAUGAGCUUGGGUGGAUCGGCCCCCGGUGCAAAUCUUGGUGGUAGUAGCAAAUAUUCAAAUGAGAACCUUGAAGAUUGAAGGGGGGAAAGGUUCCAUGUGAACAACACUUGGACAUGGGUUAGUCGAUCCUAAGAGAUGGGGAAGCCUUGUAUCAAGGGUGCACUCUGCAUGAGCAUUGAAAUGGAAUUGGGUUAAUAUUCCUGAACUGGGACAUGGCGGUGGGUGGAAACGUUAGGAAAUCCAGAGACGUCAUUGGGGGGCCCGGGAAGAGUUAUCUUUUCUUUUUAACAGCUUUCCCACCCUGGAAUCGGUUCACCCGGAGAUAGGGUCCAGCAGCUGGAAGAGCACUGCACGUCUUACAGUGUCUGGUGCACCCUCGAUGACCCUUGAAAAUCUAGAGGACCGAGUACCGUUCAUGCCCAGUCGUACUCAUAACCGCAUUAGGUCUCCAAGGUGAACAGCCUCUGGUCAAUAGAACAAUGUGGGUAAGGGAAGUUGGAAAAACGGAUCCGUAACUUCGGGAAAAGGAUUGGCUUUGAGGGCUGGGCCUAGGGGUCUACGCCCUCAACUUGUGGGUUUUCAGCAGUCUGCCCGAGCUAAUCUCGCGGCGAGGGCGGGCAGUCGCGUGUCGAUUGGGCUAUGGGCGUAGAAUACCCCCUGUCGGGGGAUUUUCCCUAGGCGUCGAACAGUCGACUCAGAACUGGUACGGACAAGGGGAAUCCAACUAUUUAAUUAAAAUAAAGCAUUUCGAUGGUCCCUGCGGAUGCUGAUGCAAUGUGAUUUCUGCCCAGUGCUCUGAAUGUCAAAGUGAAGAAAUUCAACCAAGCGCGGGUAAACGGCAAGAGUAACUAUGACUCUCUUGAGGUAGCCAAAUGCCUCGUCAUCUAUUUAGUGACGCACAUGAAUGGAUUAAUGAGAUUCCCACUGUCCCUAUCUACUAUCUAGUGAAACCACAACCAGGGGAACAGGCUUGGCAGAAUCAGCAGGGAAAGAAGACCCUGUUGAGCUUGACUCUAGUUCGACUUUGUGAAAUUACUUGAGAGGUGUAGAAUAAGUGGGAGUCGUUUUCAGUGCAAGUGAAAUACCAUUACUUUUAACGUUAUUUUACUUAUUCCGUGGGGUGGAGAUGAGGAACUGCCCCUGUUUUUGGCCUUAAGGCACGUUUCGGCGGGUCGAUCUGGGUGGAAGACAUUUUCAAGUGGGGAGUUUGGCUGGGGUGGCACAUCUGUUAAAAGAUAAUGCAGGUGUCCUAAGAUGAGCUCAACGAGAACAGAAACCUCGUGUGGAACAAAAGGGUAAAAGCUCAUUUGAUUUUGAUUUUCAAUACGAAUACAAACCAUGAAAGCGUGGCCUAUCGAUCCUUUAGAUUUUCGGAAUUUGAAGCUAUAGGUGUCAGAAAAGUUACCACAGGGAUAACUGGCUUGUGGCAGCCAAGUGUUCAUAGCGACGUUGCUUUUUGAUCCUUUGAUGUCGGCUCUUCCUAUCAUUGUGAAGCAGAAUUCACCAAGUGUUGGAUUGUUCACCCACCAAUAGGGAACGUGAGCUGGGUUUAGACCAUCGUGAGACAGGUUAGUUUUACCCUACUGAUGAACUGCACCACAAUAAUAAUUCAACUUAGUAUGAGAGGAACCAUUGAUUCACAUAAUUGGUCAUCACGCUUGGUUGAAAAGCCAGUGGUGCGAAGCUACCGUGUGUCAGAUUAUGACUGAACGCCUCUAAGUUAGAAUCCACGCUAGAAGCGGUGCAUGUCACUCUUCGACUAUAUCUCGACCUGCAGUAGGGGCGUCGCUUUGUCACCCCUAGGGGCCCGUGCCAUUUGCAAACUGCGACGUGAAGCAUCUCGGUCAGGGCAGCUUUGAAGUUCAAUUCCAAACGAUCGUUGAGAAGAAUCCUUUGCAGACGACUUAAAUACAUGACGGGGUAUUGUAAGUGGCAGAGUGGCCUUGCUGCCAUGAUCCACUGAGAUUCAGC